GAUGAACGCUGGCGGCGUGCCUAAUACAUGCAAGUCGAACGAAGAGACGAGGAGCUUGCUCCUCUGGCGUUAGCGGCGGACGGGUGAGUAACACGUGGAUAACCUACCUAUAAGCCUGGGAUAACUUCGGGAAACCGGAGCUAAUACCGGAUAAUAUAUUAAACCGCAUGGUUCAAUAGUGAAAGACGGUUUUGCUGUCCCUUAUGGAUGGAUCCGCGUCGCAUUAGCAAGUUGGUAAGGUAACGGCUUACCAAGGCAACGUAGCUUAGCCGACCUGAGAGGUGGACCGGCCACACGGGAACGGAGAAAGGGUCAAGACUCCUACGGAAGGAAGCAUUAGGGAAUCUUCCGCAAGGGGGGAAAGCCUGACGGAGCAAGGCGGCGGGGUUGAGGAAGGUCUUCGAAUCGUAAAACUCUGUUAUUAUGAAAGAACGAUUGGGUAAUUAACUAUGCACGUCUUGACGGUAGCUAAUCAGAAAGCCACGGCUAACUACGUG
RNAcentral lists this ribosomal RNA (497 nucleotides) under uncultured bacterium. Its description in RNAcentral is "partial 16S ribosomal RNA". It matches the Rfam family "Bacterial small subunit ribosomal RNA", at positions 28 to 507 of the family's 1533-position model. The record is from RNAcentral.